ACUGAAACACCAGUUCCUGUAUUCCUGUACAAUCACUGAAGUUAAGCAAGGUCGAGACCGUUCAGUACCUAGAUGGGUGACCACUUGGGAAUACUAAAUGUUGUAAG
This is a non-coding RNA of Acanthosepion pharaonis, 107 nucleotides long. NCBI's taxonomy places the organism in Eukaryota, Metazoa, Mollusca, Cephalopoda, Sepiida, Sepiidae. The record is from the annotation of a GenBank genome assembly.